AAACACAGGAGUGCCUUCGGGAGCGCGAACACAGGUGGUGCAUGGUUGUCGUCAGCUCGUGUCGUGAGAUGUUGGGUUAAGUCCCGCAACGAGCGCAACCCUCGUUCUAUGUUGCCAGCGCGUGAUGGCGGGGACUCAUAGGAGACUGCCGGGGUCAACUCGGAGGAAGGUGGGGACGACGUCAAAUCAUCAUGCCCCUUAUGUCUUGGGCUGCACACAUGCUACAAUGGCCGAUACAAAGGGCUGCUAAGCCGCGAGGUGGAGCGAAUCCCAAAAAGUCGGUCUCAGUUCGGAUUGGGGUCUGCAACUCGACCCCAUGAAGUCGGAGUUGCUAGUAAUCGCAGAUCAGCAACGCUGCGGUGAAUACGUUCCCGGGCCUUGUACAC
RNAcentral lists this ribosomal RNA (386 nucleotides) under uncultured bacterium. Its description in RNAcentral is "bacterial SSU rRNA". It matches the Rfam family "Bacterial small subunit ribosomal RNA", at positions 1004 to 1388 of the family's 1533-position model. The record is from RNAcentral.